CCUACGUGUGGCAGCAGUGAGGAAUAUUGGUCAAUGGGCGCGAGCCUGAACCAGCCAAGUAGCGUGAAGGAUGACUGCCCUAUGGGUUGUAAACUUCUUUUAUCCAAGAAUAAAGUGCGGCCCGUGUGCCUUUUUGUAUUUACUUUAUGAAUAAGCAUCGGCUAACUCCGUGCCAGCAGCCGCGGUAAUACGGAGGAUCCGAGCGUUAUCCGGAUUUAUUGGGUUUAAAGGGGUCUUAGCUGGGUUGUUAAGUCAGCUGUGAAAGUUGUCGGUUAAAACGUUUAAUUGCAAUUGAUACUGGCAGUCUUGAGUACGGGUGAGGUAGGCGGAAUGCGUGGUGUAGCGGUGAAAUGCAUAGAUAUCACGAAGAACUCCGAUUGCGAAGGCAGCUCACUAAACUGCCACUGACGUUGAUGCACGAAAGUGUGGGUAUCAAACAGGAUUAGAUACCCCAGUAGUC
This 460-nucleotide ribosomal RNA is filed under the name uncultured bacterium. Its description in RNAcentral is "partial 16S ribosomal RNA". It matches the Rfam family "Bacterial small subunit ribosomal RNA", at positions 338 to 795 of the family's 1533-position model. The record is from RNAcentral.